RNAcentral lists this ribosomal RNA (253 nucleotides) under uncultured bacterium. Its description in RNAcentral is "partial 16S ribosomal RNA". It matches the Rfam family "Bacterial small subunit ribosomal RNA", at positions 524 to 776 of the family's 1533-position model. The record is from RNAcentral.
UACGGGGGGAGCAAGCGUUGUUCGGAUUUACUGGGCGUAAAGGGCGCGUAGGCGGCGUGACAAGUCACUUGUGAAAUCUCCGGGCUUAACUCGGAACGGUCAAGUGAUACUGUCGUGCUAGAGUACAGAAGGGGCAACUGGAAUUCUCGGUGUAGCGGUGAAAUGCGUAGAUAUCGAGAGGAACACCUGCGGCGAAGGCGACUUCUUGGCCUGUUCUUGACGCUGAGGCGCGAAAGCUGGGGGAGCAAACGGG